This 516-nucleotide ribosomal RNA is filed under the name Enterobacter cloacae. Its description in RNAcentral is "bacterial SSU rRNA". It matches the Rfam family "Bacterial small subunit ribosomal RNA", at positions 1027 to 1533 of the family's 1533-position model. Lineage: Bacteria; Pseudomonadati; Pseudomonadota; Gammaproteobacteria; Enterobacterales; Enterobacteriaceae. The record is from RNAcentral.
CUGUGAGACAGGUGCUGCAUGGCUGUCGUCAGCUCGUGUUGUGAAAUGUUGGGUUAAGUCCCGCAACGAGCGCAACCCUUAUCCUUUGUUGCCAGCGGUUAGGCCGGGAACUCAAAGGAGACUGCCAGUGAUAAACUGGAGGAAGGUGGGGAUGACGUCAAGUCAUCAUGGCCCUUACGACCAGGGCUACACACGUGCUACAAUGGCGCAUACAAAGAGAAGCGACCUCGCGAGAGCAAGCGGACCUCAUAAAGUGCGUCGUAGUCCGGAUUGGAGUCUGCAACUCGACUCCAUGAAGUCGGAAUCGCUAGUAAUCGUAGAUCAGAAUGCUACGGUGAAUACGUUCCCGGGCCUUGUACACACCGCCCGUCACACCAUGGGAGUGGGUUGCAAAAGAAGUAGGUAGCUUAACCUUCGGGAGGGCGCUUACCACUUUGUGAUUCAUGACUGGGGUGAAGUCGUAACAAGGUAACCGUAGGGGAACCUGCGGUUGGAUCACCUCCUUACCUUAAAGAA